UUACAGAUCACUUUUCUCCAGAGAAUGCAAAUGACACGGCCAAGGAAACAUGCCUAAAUUGGUUUUUCAAGAUUGCCUCCAUCAGGGAACUCAUUCCAAGAUUUUACGUGGAGGCAUCCAUCCUGAAAUGUAACAAAUUCCUCUCCAAAACGGGAAUUUCAGAGUGCCUGCCCCGGUUGACAUGCAUGAUCAGAGGGAUCGGAGACCCACUGGUGUCGGUGUAUGCCCGUGCCUACCUGUGCCGGG
This 246-nucleotide long non-coding RNA is filed under the name Pan troglodytes (chimpanzee). RNAcentral's name for it is "long non-coding RNA NONPTRT005955". The record is from RNAcentral. Lineage: Eukaryota; Metazoa; Chordata; Mammalia; Primates; Hominidae.